Molecule: long non-coding RNA, 864 nt
Organism: Myotis myotis
Lineage: Eukaryota; Metazoa; Chordata; Mammalia; Chiroptera; Vespertilionidae
Exons: 4
Source: RefSeq, a predicted model, not a curated record
ACCCACAACACCCUGCGCCAAAGCGCGCGAAAAUCGCAGCGCCAGAGCGGCGUCUCUUCGAUGGUCUGCCUCCGCGUUUCUCCUCAAAGAAGUCCGUUUCUCCUCCAGGGCUCCAAGCGGUCCCUCUUCAGAAAUAUGAUAAGAAGACGGACUUCGGGUCCUGGAAAAUAACCUGGACUUGGCUCUUGGCGGGCAACAGUGGGCGCAGCGGGCUGGGCAAAUUGGAAGCGGAGGGAUCAGCACUUUGCGCGCAGAGUCUGCUGGGAGUUGUAGUCCAUAUACCGCCCUGAAGCCGGCGGCGACGCCCUUUUCUCAGCGGCUCUCCGGCCUGGGUGUGGCUGGGCUGUCCGUUGCGAGGUGGCCUCGUUCACCUUAGGGAGAAGGCUCCUCUGUCCCGCCUACGCUCGGGCCUGCUUCCUGGACCCUGGGAACCGUCUCAGUACAGUCAUUCUAGGCUGAGGGAUGCCUGAGCAUAAACCUGAAGGCAUGGCACUGGCAUCGGGACUUACCUUCUGCUCCACCGAAACCCCUGCUUCAGGAGGCACCAGAGUGAGCUUUUAAAAGUGAGCCAGCUGGACUGCAUAGGCUGAAGAAACAAGUUACAGAGGCAGAAGAAGGACACUUGGAGCUUAGGAGAUAAAGGCAAAGAUCAUCUAGACUUGAACUGAGGGGCAUUGCCAGCUUGAAAAUGAUCCAAGAACAAAAGAAACAUCUCUCACAGGUCAUCUAUCAAACAAAAACUGAGAAACAUUGCCGGAAGCCAAUUCCAGCAUGACAGCAGGCUGAAUCAUCUGGAGUGGCAAGGGCAUUUCCCCAAACCUGAAAAGGAUGCAUUAAAUUGUUUGCUGCCAGACAGCUCCGGGC